CCUACGGGGCGCAGCAGUGGGGAAUAUUGGACAAUGGGCGAAAGCCUGAUCCAGCCAUGCCGCGUGUGUGAAGAAGGCCUUCGGGUUGUAAAGCACUUUCAGUGGGGAAGAAAGCCUUGGGGCUAAUACCCUCGAGGAAGGACAUCACCCACAGAAGAAGCACCGGCUAACUCCGUGCCAGCAGCCGCGGUAAUACGGAGGGUGCGAGCGUUAAUCAGAAUUACUGGGCGUAAAGCGCGCGUAGGCGGUCUGAUAAGCCGGUUGUGAAAGCCCCGGGCUCAACCUGGGAACGGCAUCCGGAACUGUCAGGCUAGAGUGCAGGAGAGGAAGGUAGAAUUCCCGGUGUAGCGGUGAAAUGCGUAGAGAUCGGGAGGAAUACCAGUGGCGAAGGCGGCCUUCUGGACUGACACUGACGCUGAGGUGCGAAAGCGUGGGUAGCAAACAGGAUUAGAUACCCCAGUAGUC
This 465-nucleotide ribosomal RNA is filed under the name Vreelandella stevensii. RNAcentral describes it as "partial 16S ribosomal RNA". It matches the Rfam family "Bacterial small subunit ribosomal RNA", at positions 338 to 795 of the family's 1533-position model. The record is from RNAcentral. Lineage: Bacteria; Pseudomonadati; Pseudomonadota; Gammaproteobacteria; Oceanospirillales; Halomonadaceae.